RNAcentral lists this ribosomal RNA (497 nucleotides) under uncultured bacterium. RNAcentral describes it as "partial 16S ribosomal RNA". It matches the Rfam family "Bacterial small subunit ribosomal RNA", at positions 28 to 507 of the family's 1533-position model. The record is from RNAcentral.
GAUGAACGCUGGCGGCGUGCCUAAUACAUGCAAGUCGAGCGAACGGACGAGAAGCUUGCUUCUCUGAUGUUAGCGGCGGACGGGUGAGUAACACGUGGAUAACCUACCUAUAAGACUGGGAUCACUUCGGGAAACCGGAGCUAACACCGGAUAAUAUUUUGAACCGCAUGGUUCAAAAGUGAAAGACGGUCUUGCUGGCACUUAUAGAUGGAUCCGCGCUGCAUUAGCUAGUUGGUAAGGUAACGGCUUACCAAGGCAACGAUGCAUAGCCGACCUGAGAGGGUGAUCGGCCACACUGGAACUGAGACACGGUCCAGACUCCUACGGGAGGCAGCAGUAGGGAAUCUUCCGCAAUGGGCGAAAGCCUGACGGAGCAACGCCGCGUGAGUGAUGAAGGUCUUCGGAUCGUAAAACUCUGUUAUUAGGGAAGAACAUAUGUGUAAGUAACUGUGCACAUCUUGACGGUACCUAAUCAGAAAGCCACGGCUAACUACGUG